CAGCCGCCACGGUAAUACAGAGGGUGCGAGCGUUAAUCGGAUUUACUGGGCGUAAAGCGUGCGUAGGCGGCUUCUUAAGUCGGAUGUGAAAUCCCUGAGCUUAACUUAGGAAUUGCAUUCGAUACUGGGAAGCUAGAGUAUGGGAGAGGAUGGUAGAAUUCCAGGUGUAGCGGUGAAAUGCGUAGAGAUCUGGAGGAAUACCGAUGGCGAAGGCAGCCAUCUGGCCUAAUACUGACGCUGAGGUACGAAAGCAUGGGGAGCAAACAGGAUUAGAUACCCCCGUAGUCCCUGUCUCUUAUAA
Molecule: ribosomal RNA, 301 nt
Filed under: uncultured bacterium
Lineage: Bacteria
Description: partial 16S ribosomal RNA
Rfam family: Bacterial small subunit ribosomal RNA
Source: RNAcentral